This 253-nucleotide ribosomal RNA is filed under the name uncultured bacterium. Its description in RNAcentral is "partial 16S ribosomal RNA". It matches the Rfam family "Bacterial small subunit ribosomal RNA", at positions 524 to 776 of the family's 1533-position model. The record is from RNAcentral.
UACAUGGGGUGCAAACGUUGCUCGGAAUUAUUGGGCGUAAAGCGCACGUAGGCGGCUUUCUAAGUCAGGGGUGAAAUCCUGGAGCUCAACUCCAGAACUGCCUUUGAUACUGGAAAGCUUGAGUUCGGGAGAGGUGAGUGGAACUGCGAGUGUAGAGGUGAAAUUCGUAGAUAUUCGCAAGAACACCAGUGGCGAAGGCGGCUCACUGGCCCGAUACUGACGCUGAGGUGCGAAAGCGUGGGGAGCAAACAGG